GAUGAACGCUAGCGGCAGGCUUAACACAUGCAAGUCGAGGGGCAGCACGGGUAGCAAUACCUGGUGGCGACCGGCGCAAGGGUGCGUAACGCGUGAGCAACAUGCCCUAUACAGGGGGAUAAUCCAGGGAAACUUGGUCUAAUAUCCCAUAGUAUUUAGAGGAGGCAUCUUCUAUAAAUUAAAGCUUCGGUGGUAUAGGAUUGGCUCGCGUGACAUUAGCUAGAUGGUGAGGUAACGGCUCACCAUGGCAAUGAUGUCUAGGGGUUCUGAGAGGAAGGCCCCCCACACUGGGACUGAGACACGGACCAGACUCCUACGGGAGGCAGCAGUGAGGAAUAUUGGUCAAUGGACGAGAGUCUGAACCAGCCAAGUCGCGUGAAGGAAGACGGUUCUAUGAAUUGUAAACUUCUUUUGUGCAGGAAUAAAGUGGGUUACGUGUAACCUUUUGUAUGUACUGUACGAAUAAGGAUCGGCUAACUCCGUGCCAGC
RNAcentral lists this ribosomal RNA (489 nucleotides) under uncultured bacterium. Its description in RNAcentral is "bacterial SSU rRNA". It matches the Rfam family "Bacterial small subunit ribosomal RNA", at positions 28 to 512 of the family's 1533-position model. The record is from RNAcentral.